RNAcentral lists this long non-coding RNA (1084 nucleotides) under Equus caballus (horse). Its description in RNAcentral is "lncRNA (ENSECAG00000053928.1)". The record is from RNAcentral. Lineage: Eukaryota; Metazoa; Chordata; Mammalia; Perissodactyla; Equidae.
AAAGAGAAGUGUUGGCGCCAGGUCAGGCAACCUGUGCUGAGCAGGCAAGCACUGAUUGGUUGACCUAGGCCUUCCUUUUCGGGGAGAACUGGCAUAGAAAUUUAGUAAAGUUUUGUUUUGCUGAUGUGAGGCUUAGCAUGAGUGACUCCAUCUUGAGCCUAAUGUGGUUUCUUUAACACUGGGAAGCCAACAUCUUCAGGGGCAUCCACCCACACGUCCUCAACCCACGUAGCAGAGUCCCGCGUUACCCCAAAUAGCGCUCUGACCUUGACAUAAACUGCCUCAGCUGAGCGUUCCAUCAUCUUUGAAGCAGGCAGUAACACCAGAUGUUGACCUCAUUUGCAUCAGUAGUAUGAACACCUUCUAUACUAAACAAGAAGAUUAGCCCUGAGCUAACAUCUGCUGCCAAUCCUCACCUUUUUUUCUGAGGAAGACUGGCCCUGAGCUAACAUUCGUGCUCAUCUUCCUCUACUUUAUAUGUGGGACGCCUGCCACAGCAUGGCUCAACAAGCAGUGCAUGGGUCUGCACCCAGGAUCCGAACUGCUGAACCCCGGGCUGCCGAAGCAGAACAUGUGAACUCCACUGCUGCACCAGCAGGUGGGAGUCAAGAGAGUGCACACAGAAUAUAAAGCCCCUUCUCAGGAACACAUUUAAAAGCCUGACGUGGCCUGUCCAGCAUGUGUUGUACAUCUGCUUUAAACAUUUACAACAUCCCAAAGCCAAAAGUGAUGCCCUUAAAGACAGAAAUGUAUGCCUCCCCCUAUAUCAGCAUUUCUUUAAAGAUAAGCAUUUCUUCCCAGAAACUAAGGGCCAAACUGACCUACUGUGCUCAUCUUUGACCACUGACUGCUGUGCUAGCAAAACGUCUUAUGACUGUAGUAAGAGAGAUGUUCCUAUCAUACUUGAUGUAUGUUCCUUGUUCCAAGAAGGUAUAUAGGCAUACUGUGCACCUCACUUCUUCAGAGUGCUUCCUUCCUUGGUGAAGGUGUUCUCCUGGGCAAUAUAGACCUCAAAACUGGCUCAUAUGAUAAACUCACCCCAAUUUUGAUUUAUAGAUUGAUUAUUUAUUAUUUGCCUGGAUAG